This is a non-coding RNA of Ignavibacteria bacterium 13_1_40CM_2_61_4, 355 nucleotides long. Lineage: Bacteria; Pseudomonadati; Ignavibacteriota; Ignavibacteria. The record is from Rfam.
GGGGAUGAAAUGGUUUCGACGGGGAUGAGAAUGGCUAGGACUGCAUCCUGUGCUCUCCGCGUUGCACGCUAAUAAAGCGGAAAACUACAAGUGCAGACUACAACUACGCACUGGCUGCUUAAUUAAAGCAACCCAUCCGCUGCAGCUCCGCCCGACGGGCUGCGGUUGGGUGUCGACUUAGUCGGGAUAGCCUGGCAGGAUCCUCGGGCCUGCCUCGUGAAAGUCCUCUGAGGUAGGCUGCGCGUACCGCGUCUGCUCCGGUCACCGCAGAUGAGUUUGCAAGAGCAGACUAAGGAUGUAGAAGUCUUGGUGGUUUUCGCUCCGGACCGGGGUUCGAUUCCCCGCAUCUCCACGA